Molecule: long non-coding RNA, 2299 nt
Filed under: Salmo salar (Atlantic salmon)
Lineage: Eukaryota; Metazoa; Chordata; Actinopteri; Salmoniformes; Salmonidae
Description: lncRNA (ENSSSAG00000094343.1)
Rfam family: tRNA (bases 1322-1399)
Source: RNAcentral
CGCUAUUAAUAACAAUAUAAAAUAUAAAAGCUUCUAUGAAAAUCAAUAUAAAUCAGAAUUAAAUAACAGAUCUGAUAGCCUUCUUAGACUCAACAACCCUGAAGCAAUUAUCAGCAGAUAUGAAAAUAAAUAAUUGACAACACUCAAUUCAGUACUUCCAAUAUCCAUGUAUCAAACGGUUAUUUCAGUCAUAUUAAAACCAGAUUCCCCUGCAGAUUAAAGAUUCAUUUUUAUAAAUUGGCAACAAUAAAAAUAAUAACAAAACUUAUAAGCAACAGAAUGGCAAAAGUACUUGAUUCAUAUUAAGGGUUUAUUAAAAAAGGCUUACAAACAAAUACAAUGACAUGUUUUAGUAUAAUACAAUAUGCAAAAAAAAACAAGAUUUAUCAACAAUGAAUGUUGAUGCUGAAAAGGCUUUUGACUGUCUUGUGUGGCCUCUUAUAUUAAAAACUUUGGAAGCAUUCAUCUUUCCAGCUAAAAUAAUAAAUUUCAUACAAAUAUUAUACAAAAAUCAUAAAGCUAAAAUAUACAAAACGAAUCCAUUAUCUGAUUACAUUUCUUUAGAAAGGGGUACAAGGCAGGGACGUCCCUUCUCCCCCUUCCUUUUUGCACUGGCAAUUGAACCACAUCCAGUAAGAAUUUGACAGGAUCCAAACGUAACAGGUAUCAGUAUUGGUAAACAUGAAUAUAAACUAAACUUGUCUGCUGACGAUCUCCUGAUAUACCUGACUAAUAGUGAAAACUCAAUGCCCCCCUUGUUAAAAACAAAUCCGUAAUACUCAAAAAUCUCAGGAUUUAAAAUGAACGUGGAAAUAAUGUCAAUAGGAAAAAUCUACAGCAAACCUUUAAGUAUGCUACAAAAAAGAUGAAAUACUUAGAAUGCUUAAUAAGUGACAACAAACAACAAAUAUAUAGAAAGAUAACUUUAUCUCAUUACUCAAAAAAAAUGAAAGCAGAUCUAGAUAAAUGGAACAAGCUCCCCAUAAAUCUUACAGGUAGAAUACACCUCUUUAGAAUGGCAUGGCUCCCAACGUUUUCAUAUUGAUUUAAUGGGAGUACCAAUUACCCCACCGAAGACAUUCUUUACAAAAGUAAACCCAGCCAUGACAGACUUCAUAUAAAACUCAUAGAAUAAAUUGGAAAGUUUUACAUGUCCCUAAAUCUGAGAGUGGUUUUAACCUUCCAGACUUGGAAUCAUAUCAACUCGCCACCCAAGGCUUUUACUUGCGACAUACACUGAGUAUACGAAACAUUAAGAACAACUGCUCUUUCCAUGACAUAGACUGACCAGCUUAAUCCAGGUGAAAGCUUGUCUUUCCUGUGGCUCAGUUGGUAGAGCAUGGUGUUUGCAACGCCAGCAUGGCGUGUGCAACGCCAGGGUUGUGGGUUCGAUUCCCACGGGGGGCCAGUACAAAAAAUUAAAAUAAAUAAAAAAGAAUGCAUGAAAUGUAUGUAUUCACUACUGUAAGUCGCUCUGGAUAAGAGCUAAAUGACUAAAAAUGUUUACAAAAAUGUAAAUGUAAGCUAUAAUCCCUUAUUGAUGUCACUUGUUAAAUCCACUCCAAUCAGUGUAGAUGAAGGGGAGGAGACCGGUUAAAGAAGGAUUUUUAAUCCUUGACACAUUUGAGACAUGAGGUUUGAUAGUGGCCAGUUCGUAUGAUCAGAACUCAGGAUCAGACCCAGAUGCAGGCAGAGGUCAGUAAUCCAGGGCAGUGUCACAAGGUACAGAACGCCGGUCAUGGCAGGCAGAAUGGUCAAAACCGGGAAAACUAUAAAGCAGGGACCAGAGAGAAAACAGGAGUAUGGGAAGAACGCUGGUAGGCUUGACAAGACAAGACGAACUGGCAACAGACAAACAGAGAAAACAGGUAUAAAUACACAGGGGGAUAAUGGGGAAAAUGGGCGACACCUGGAGGGGGGUGGACACAAGCACAAGACAGGUGAAACAGAUCAUGGUGUGACAGCUUGUCUUUAGAAACUAUAGUACAAUCAUCUUGUCUUGACAGUGACCACAAGAAGAAGUGUGUGCCUCAGUCGGUAUAGCCUGGAGCUUGCACCGCUACCCAUACGUAACUGAAAGCUAAAUGGCAUACAUUAUGUGAUGAUUUAUUCUAUAAUUAUUCUAUAUUAAGGCCAUGGGUAGUAGGCAGUGGACCAGUCUAUAAUUAUUCUAUAUUAAGGCCAUGGGUAGUAGGCAGUGGAUCAGUCUAUAAUUAUUCUAUAUUAAGGCCAUGGGUAGUAGGCAGUGGAUCAGUCUAUAAUUAUUCUAUAUUAAGGCCAUGGGUAGUAGGCAGUGGAU